This 254-nucleotide long non-coding RNA is filed under the name Capsella rubella. RNAcentral describes it as "long non-coding RNA (CRUB_LNC000245)". The record is from RNAcentral. Lineage: Eukaryota; Viridiplantae; Streptophyta; Magnoliopsida; Brassicales; Brassicaceae.
AGAAUAUGUUAGAACACAAUUAUUUUGAUUGAUUACAAGUGCUAUAGAUUCAUGAAGAGUGUUCGUAAGUAUGGAGAAAGACUUGUUGAAAUUGGGUCCCGAAUGGGCUAAGAACUCGGAAACAUUGUGUUGAAAACCUAAAUGAGUUAUCUAGUGUUAUUUGGGGUUAGAAUAUGUUAGAAUACAAUGAAUUUGAUUGAUUACAAGUACUAGAGAUGCAUGAAGAGUGUUUAGAAGUGUGUAGAAAGACUUGU